Molecule: ribosomal RNA, 38 nt
Filed under: Trichoderma pleuroticola
Lineage: Eukaryota; Fungi; Ascomycota; Sordariomycetes; Hypocreales; Hypocreaceae
Description: partial 18S ribosomal RNA
Source: RNAcentral
ACCAAAGUUUCCGUAGGUGAACCAGCGGAGGGAUCAUU